RNAcentral lists this ribosomal RNA (500 nucleotides) under uncultured bacterium. RNAcentral's name for it is "partial 16S ribosomal RNA". It matches the Rfam family "Bacterial small subunit ribosomal RNA", at positions 30 to 523 of the family's 1533-position model. The record is from RNAcentral.
AUUGAACGCUGGCGGCAUGCUUUACACAUGCAAGUCGAACGGCAGCACGGACUUCGGUCUGGUGGCGAGUGGCGAACGGGUGAGUAAUACAUCGGAACGUACCCAGUAAUGGGGGAUAACUUGUCGAAAGAUUAGCUAAUACCGCAUACGCCCUACGGGGGAAAGAGGGGGAUCGCAAGACCUCUUGUUAUUGGAGCGGCCGAUGGCUGAUUAGCUAGUUGGUGGGGUAAAGGCCUACCAAGGCGACGAUCAGUAGCGGGUCUUAGAGGACGAUCCGCCACACUGGAACUGAGACACGGUCCAGACUCCGACGGGAGGCAGCAGUGGGGAAUCUUGGACAAUGGGCGAAAGCCUGAUCCAGCAAUGCCGCGUGCGUGAAGAAGGCCUUCGGGUUGUAAAGCGCUUUUGUCUGGGAGCAAAUCCUUGUGGCUAAUACCCACCGGGGAUGAGAGUACCAGAAGAAUAAGGACCGGCUAACUACGUGCCAGCAGCCGCCGUAA